This 253-nucleotide ribosomal RNA is filed under the name uncultured bacterium. Its description in RNAcentral is "partial 16S ribosomal RNA". It matches the Rfam family "Bacterial small subunit ribosomal RNA", at positions 524 to 776 of the family's 1533-position model. The record is from RNAcentral.
UACGGGGGAGGCAAGCGUUGUUCGGAAUUACUGGGCGUAAAGGGCUCGUAGGUGGCCAACUAAGUCAGACGUGAAAUCCCCAGGCUCAACUUGGGAACUGCGUCUGAUACUGGAUGGCUUGAAUUCGGGAGAGGGAUGCAGAAUUCCAGGUGUAGCGGUGAAAUGCGUAGAUAUCUGGAGGAAUACCGGUGGCGAAGGCGGCAUCCUGGACCGAUAUUGACACUGAUGAGCGAAAGCCAGGGGAGCAAACGGG